GCCGGGGUAGCAUAGCUUGGUUAUUGCGCCGGGCACGCUAUCCGGAGGUCGCGGGCUCGAAACGCAGACGGCGCAAGACUCCCGCCCCCGGCA
This 93-nucleotide transfer RNA is filed under the name Nitrososphaerota archaeon. Its description in RNAcentral is "Thaumarchaeota archaeon tRNA-Ala". Lineage: Archaea; Thermoproteati; Nitrososphaerota. The record is from RNAcentral.